AUUGAACGCUGGCGGCAUGCCUUACACAUGCAAGUCGAACAGCAGCACGGGUGCUUGCACCUGGUGGCGAGUGGCGAACGGGUGAGUAAUACAUCGGAACAUGUCCUGUAGUGGGGGAUAGCCCGGCGAAAGCCGGAUUAAUACCGCAUACGAUCUACGGAUGAAAGCGGGGGACCUUCGGGCCUCGCGCUAUAGGGUUGGCCGAUGGCUGAUUAGCUAGUUGGUGGGGUAAAGGCCUACCAAGGCGACGAUCAGUAGCUGGUCUGAGAGGACGACCAGCCACACUGGGACUGAGACACGGCCCAGACUCCUACGGGAGGCAGCAGUGGGGAAUUUUGGACAAUGGGCGAAAGCCUGAUCCAGCAAUGCCGCGUGUGUGAAGAAGGCCUUCGGGUUGUAAAGCACUUUUGUCCGGAAAGAAAUCCUUGGCUCUAAUACAGUCGGGGGAUGACGGUACCGGAAGAAUAAGCACCGGCUAACUACGUG
Molecule: ribosomal RNA, 486 nt
Filed under: uncultured bacterium
Lineage: Bacteria
Description: partial 16S ribosomal RNA
Rfam family: Bacterial small subunit ribosomal RNA
Source: RNAcentral